Long non-coding RNA from Phasianus colchicus (ring-necked pheasant), 2403 nucleotides. NCBI's taxonomy places the organism in Eukaryota, Metazoa, Chordata, Aves, Galliformes, Phasianidae. The record is from Ensembl.
CAGUUGUUGGUUCUGGUCCCGGUGUUGUGGGUUCUGGUGUCAGUUCUGGGCCAAUUGUUGGUUCUGGUCACAGUGUUGUGGGUUCUGGUGUCGGUCCUGGUCCAACUGUUGGUUCUGGUCCUGGUGUUGGUUCAGGUGUUGGUCCUGGUUCUGGUGUUGGUUCAAUUGUUGGUCCUGGUCCAAUUGUUGGUUCUGGUCCCAGUGUUGGUUCAGGUGCUGGUCCUGGUUCUGGUGUCAGUUCUGGUCCCAGGGUUGGUCCGGGUGUUUUUCCUGGUCCUGGUGUUGGUCCUGGUUCUGGUGUUGGUCCAGGUGUUUUUCCUGGUCCCGGUGUCAGUCCUGGUUCUGGUGUUGGUCCAGGUUUUGGUCCUGGUCCUGGUGUCAGUUCCGGUCCCAGUAUUGGUCCAGGUGUUGGUCCUGGUGUCAGUCCCGGUUCCGGUGUCGGUUCUGGUUCUGGUGUUGAUGACAGUCCCAGUGUCAGCCCCUGGUCCCGUUGUUGGACCGGUGUCGGUUCUGGUCCCAGUGUUGUUCUGGUCCUGAUGCCGGUUCUGGUUCUGGUGUCGGUUCUGGUCCCGGUGUUGUUCCGGUCCUGGUGUACCUUAUGGUCCUGGUGUUGGUCCCGGUGUCGGUUCUGGUUCUGGUGUCAGUUCUGGUCCUGGUGUUGUUCCCAGUCCUGGUGUCGGUUCUGGUUCUGGUGUCAGUUCUGGUCCUGGUGUUGUUCCUGGUCCCGGUGUUGGUUCUGGUUCUGGUGUCGGUUCUGGUCCUGGUGUUGUUCCCAGUCCUGGGGUACCUUACAGUCCCACUGUUGGUCCCGGUGUUGGUUCUGGUUCUGGUGUCAGUUCUGGUCCUGGUGUUGUUCCUGGUCCUGGUGUUGGUUCUGAUCCUGGUGUCGUUCCUGGUCCCGGUGUUGGUUCUGGUUCUGGUGCCGGUUCUGGUCCCGGUGUUGUUCCCAGUCCUGGUGUCCCUUACAGUCCCACUGUUGGUCCCAGUGUCAGUUCUGGUCCUGGUGUUGUUCCUGGUCCCGGUGUCGGUUCUGGUCCUGGUGUCGGUUCUGGUCCCAGUGUUGGUUCUGGUCCCGGUGUUGUUCCGGUCCUGGUGUCAGUUCUGGUCCUGUUGUUGUUCCUGGUCCUGGUGUCGAUUCUGGUCCCGGUGUCAGACCCAGUAUUGCUGUCAGUCCCACUGUUGGUUCCGGUUCUGGUGGUACUGCUGGUUCCGGUGUCGCUCCCGGUCCAAAUUUUAAUCCAGUCCAGGCUUUAUUCCCAGCCCAGCUCUUGCUCUCAACUCCAGUCCAGGUUUUACCGGUUCCAGUCCAGGUGUUGCUCCCAGUCCGGGUUUUAUUCCCACUCCGGGUUUUGCUUCCACUCCAGUCCAGCUCCCAACUCCAGUCCGGGUUUUACUGUCAGCUCCAGUCCGGUUUUUAUUCCCAGUCCAGGUUUUGCUCCCAACUCCAGUCCGGGUUUUAUUCCCACUCCGGUUUUGCUUCCAACUCCAGUCCAGCUCCCAACUCCAGUCCGGGUUUUACCGUCUGCUCCAGUCCGGGUUUUAUUCCCAGUCCAGGUUUUGCUCCCAACUCCAGUCCGGGUUUUAUUCCCACUCCAGUCCAGGUCUCACCGCCAGCUCCAGUCCGGGUUUUAUUCCCAGUCCAGUCCAGCUCCCAACUUCAAUCCGGGUUUUACCAUCAGCUGCAGUCCGGGUUUUAUUCCCAGUCCAGAUCCCAAAUCCAAUCCGGGUUUUACCUUCAGCUCCAGUCCGGGUUUUAUUCCCAGUCCAGCUCCCAACUCCAGUCCGGGUUUUACCGUCAGCUCCACUCCGGGUUUUAUUCCCACCCCACCUGUUGCUCCCAACUCCAGUCCGGGUUCCAGCUCCGGAUCGGCUGCUAUUGGUCCCGGUUCCGCCGUUCCAGCCCCGGUUCGGUCGUUCCCGGUCCCGGCCCGGCUGCUAUUGGUUCCGGUUCUGCCGUUCCCGGUCCCGGUUCUGCCGUUCCAGCCCCGGUUCUGCCGGUCCCGGUCCCGGUUCGGCUGUUGCUGGCUCCGGUUCCGCCGUUCCCGGUCCGGUUCUGCCGUUGCCGGUCCCGGUCCGGCUGUUGUCAGCCCCGGUCCGGCUACUCUUGGUCCCGGUUCCGCCGUUCCCAGCCCCGGUUCUGCCGUUCCAGCCCCGGUUCUGCCGGUCCCGGUCCCGGUUCUGCUGUUGCCGGUCCCGGUUCUGCCGUUCCUGGUCCCGGUUCUGCCGUUCCAGCCCCGGUUCGGCCGUUCCCGGUCCCGGUUCGGCUGCUAUUGGUCCCGGUCCGGCCGUUGUCAGCCUCGGUCCGGCUGCUAUCGGUCCCGGUUCUGCCGCUCUUGGUCCCGGUUCGGCCGUUUCCGGUCCGGUUCGGCUGCUGUUGGUCCCGGUUCGGCCGUUUCCGGUCCG